This 64-nucleotide transfer RNA is filed under the name Coleoptera sp. 4 KM-2017. Its description in RNAcentral is "tRNA-Val". The record is from RNAcentral. Lineage: Eukaryota; Metazoa; Arthropoda; Insecta; Coleoptera.
UAAAUUAAAGCUUUAAGAAGCAUUUUAUUUACAUUAAAGAGAUUAUUUAUUUAAUAUAAUUUGG